This 400-nucleotide ribosomal RNA is filed under the name uncultured Desulfobacteraceae bacterium. RNAcentral describes it as "bacterial SSU rRNA". It matches the Rfam family "Bacterial small subunit ribosomal RNA", at positions 488 to 889 of the family's 1533-position model. The record is from RNAcentral. Lineage: Bacteria; Pseudomonadati; Thermodesulfobacteriota; Desulfobacteria; Desulfobacterales; Desulfobacteraceae.
AGCACCGGCUAACUCCGUGCCAGCAGCCGCGGUAAUACGGGGGUGCARGCGUAUUCGGAAUCACUGGGCGUAARGAGCGCGUAGGCGGCUUCUUWAGUCAGAUGUGAAAGCCCGGGGCUUAMCCCCGGAAGUGCAUUUGAAACUAGGGAGCUUGAGUAUGGGAGAGGGAAGUGGAWUUCCUGGUGUAGCGGUGAAAUGCGUAGAUAUCAGGAGGAACACCGGUGGCGAAGGCGACUUCCUGGACCAAUACUGACGCUGAGGCGCGAAGGCGUGGGGAGCAAACAGGAUUAGAUACCCUGGUAGUCCACGCAGUAAACGUUGAACACUAGGUGUAGCGGGUAUUGACCCCUGCUGUGCCGCAGCUAACGCAUUAAGUGUUCCGCCUGGGGAGUACGGCCGC